Molecule: ribosomal RNA, 366 nt
Filed under: uncultured organism
Description: bacterial SSU rRNA
Rfam family: Bacterial small subunit ribosomal RNA
Source: RNAcentral
CGGAGGAUCCAAGCGUUAUCCGGAAUCAUUGGGUUUAAAGGGUCCGUAGGCGGGUUUAUAAGUCAGUGGUGAAAGCCCAUCGCUCAACGAUGGAACGGCCAUUGAUACUGUAGAUCUUGAAUUAUUAGGAAGUAACUAGAAUAUGUAGUGUAGCGGUGAAAUGCUUAGAGAUUACAUGGAAUACCAAUUGCGAAGGCAGGUUACUACUAAUGGAUUGACGCUGAUGGACGAAGGCGUGGGUAGCGAACAGGAUUAGAUACCCUGGUAGUCCACGCCGUAAACGAUGGAUACUAGCUGUUCGGAGCAAUCUGAGUGGCUAAGCGAAAGUGAUAAGUAUCCCACCUGGGGAGUACGUUCGCAAGAAUG